Molecule: ribosomal RNA, 468 nt
Filed under: uncultured bacterium
Lineage: Bacteria
Description: partial 16S ribosomal RNA
Rfam family: Bacterial small subunit ribosomal RNA
Source: RNAcentral
GACGAACGCUGGCGGCGUGCUUAACACAUGCAAGUCGAACGGAAAGACCCUGCUUUUGUGGGGUGCUCGAGUGGCGAACGGGUGAGUAACACGUGAGUAACCUGCCCUUGACUUUGGGAUAACUUCAGGAAACUGGGGCUAAUACCGGAUAGGAGCUCCUGCUGCAUGGUGGGGGUUGGAAAGUUUCGGCGGUUGGGGAUGGACUCGCGGCUUAUCAGCUUGUUGGUGGGGUAGUGGCUUACCAAGGGUUUGACGGGUAGCCGGCCUGAGAGGGUGACCGGCCACAAUAGGACUGAGAUACGGACCAGACGCCUACGGUAGGCAGCAGGGGGGAAUAUGGCACAGUGGGCGGGAGCCGGUUGCAGCAACGCCGCGGUCGGAAUGACGGUCUUCUGGUUGUAAACCGCUUCCGCCUGAUACGAAGCUGUAGUGACGGUAAUGAGUAAAGAAGCACCGGCUAACUACGUG